GAAAUGCGAUACGUAAUGCGAAUUGCAGAAUUCAGUGAAUCAUCAAAUCUUUGAACGCAAAUUGCGCUUCUUGGAUAGGCCAGGAAGCAUGCCUCUUUGAGUAUCGUUUUCACCCCAGCUCGACUGCUUUUUUGUGCUUGUGUAACAACGAGUUUCAAGAUUGUUUUGUCGGAGAAUGAGUUUGUCUUGUCUGAAAUAGAUAAGUCACUUUAAAUGCUGUGAGUUUGAUUACCUACUUCAGUUGUGUC
RNAcentral lists this unclassified non-coding RNA (248 nucleotides) under uncultured fungus. RNAcentral's name for it is "sequence contains ITS1". The stretch from base 1 to 106 matches the Rfam family "5.8S ribosomal RNA", at positions 50 to 154 of the family's 154-position model. The record is from RNAcentral. Lineage: Eukaryota; Fungi.